CUUUUUCAAAUUGAACCUGAUAUCA
This 25-nucleotide unclassified non-coding RNA is filed under the name Pythium insidiosum. RNAcentral's name for it is "partial large subunit ribosomal RNA". The record is from RNAcentral. Lineage: Eukaryota; Oomycota; Peronosporomycetes; Pythiales; Pythiaceae.